AACGAACGCUGGCGGCAUGCUUAACACAUGCAAGUCGAACGGGGUGUGAUUACUUUGUGAUUGCACUUAGGUGGCAGACGGGUGAGUAACGCGUGGGAACGUACCUUCAAGUCUUGGAUAACUAUUGGAAACGAUGGCUAAUACGGGAUGUGACCGAGAGGUUAAAGGUUUACUGCUUGAAGAGCGGCCCGCGUUAGAUUAGGUAGUUGGUGUGGUAAAGGCGCACCAAGCCGAUGAUCUAUAGCUGGUCUGAGAGGAUGAUCAGCCACACUGGGACUGAGACACGGGCCCAGACUCCUACGGGAGGCAGCAGUGGGGAAUAUUGGACAAUGGGGGCAACCCUGAUCCAGCAAUGCCGCGUGAAUGAAGAAGGCCUUAGGGUUGUAAAGUUCUUUUGUUAGAGAAGACUAAUGACGUUAUUUAACGAAUAAGCACCGGCUAACUUCGUGCCAGCAGCCGUCGGUAAAGU
This 469-nucleotide ribosomal RNA is filed under the name uncultured bacterium. RNAcentral describes it as "bacterial SSU rRNA". It matches the Rfam family "Bacterial small subunit ribosomal RNA", at positions 29 to 526 of the family's 1533-position model. The record is from RNAcentral.